UUGGGGCGUCGGCAAGUGGCAAGCCAUCGGUUUUUGGUACCGACAUUCGUAGGUUCGAAUCCUACCGCCCCAGUCC
RNAcentral lists this transfer RNA (76 nucleotides) under Enhygromyxa salina. Its description in RNAcentral is "tRNA-Gln". It matches the Rfam family "tRNA". From Rfam's summary of the family: Transfer RNA (tRNA) molecules are approximately 80 nucleotides in length. Their secondary structure includes four short double-helical elements and three loops (D, anti-codon, and T loops). Further hydrogen bonds mediate the characteristic L-shaped molecular structure. tRNAs have two regions of fundamental functional importance: the anti-codon, which is responsible for specific mRNA codon recognition, and the 3' end, to which the tRNAs corresponding amino acid is attached (by aminoacyl-tRNA synthetases). tRNAs cope with the degeneracy of the genetic code in two manners: having more than one tRNA (with a specific anti-codon) for a particular amino acid; and 'wobble' base-pairing, i.e. permitting non-standard base-pairing at the 3rd anti-codon position. Lineage: Bacteria; Pseudomonadati; Myxococcota; Nannocystales; Nannocystaceae. The record is from RNAcentral.